RNAcentral lists this ribosomal RNA (254 nucleotides) under uncultured bacterium. RNAcentral describes it as "partial 16S ribosomal RNA". It matches the Rfam family "Bacterial small subunit ribosomal RNA", at positions 524 to 776 of the family's 1533-position model. The record is from RNAcentral.
UACGGGGGAUGCAAGCGUUAUCCGGAUUUAUUGGGUUUAAAGGGUGCGUAGGCUGUGAGGUAAGUCAGCGGUGAAAUGCCCCCGCUCAACGGGGUGAAGUGCCAUUGAUACUGCCUUGCUGGAAUGCGGAUGCCGUGGGAGGAAUGUGUGGUGUAGCGGUGAAAUGCAUAGAUAUCACACAGAACACCGAUUGCGAAGGCAUCUCACGAAUCCGCGAUUGAUGCUGAUGCACGAAAGCGUGGGUAUCAAACAGG